AGGGGUGUGGCUCAAUGGUAGAGCACUUGCCUAGCAUGUUCAAGGCCCUGGGUUCUAUCCACAGCACCACAA
Non-coding RNA from Heterocephalus glaber (naked mole-rat), 72 nucleotides. The record is from Rfam. Lineage: Eukaryota; Metazoa; Chordata; Mammalia; Rodentia; Bathyergidae.